This 311-nucleotide long non-coding RNA is filed under the name Ananas comosus (pineapple). RNAcentral describes it as "long non-coding RNA (ACOM_LNC017418)". Lineage: Eukaryota; Viridiplantae; Streptophyta; Magnoliopsida; Poales; Bromeliaceae. The record is from RNAcentral.
AUCAAAUCGGUUGGAGGUUCGUCGUCGCGUCAUUCGCACGCUCGUGUAAAUCUUUCGUCGAUGUUGAGGAGACGGACGUUUAGUGAAUACGUGCGUACGAUAUAGUAACGAUCCAAUGCCGGAUUUGAUCGGGUCAAGCUAUCAUGAAGACGGUCGUGUUGAUCAAACCAACAAAUAAAUCGUGACUAUACGUUUGCACGUAUACACCAAUCGGCCGUCGUCGGAGAAGAAGAAGAAAGAGGAGGUCAUGAGGCCUCCUCGCACACCGUUGUCGUCGUCGAAGUCGUCACAGCCGCCGUUGUCGAAGUCGU